ACGAACGCUUGCGGCGUGCUUAACACAUGCAAGUCGAACGGAAAGGCCCUGCUUUUGUGGGGUGCUCGGGUGGCGAACGGGUGAGUAACACGUGAGUAACCUGCCCUUGACUUUGGGAUAACUUCAUGAAACUGGGGCUAAUACCGGAUAGGAGCUCCUUCUUCAUGGUGGGGGUUGGAAAGUUUCGGCGGUUGGGGGUGGACUCGCGGCUUAUCAGCUUGUUGGUGGGGUAGUGGCUUACCAAGGCUUUGACGGGUAGCCGGCCUGAGAGGGUGACCGGCCACAUUGGGACUGAGAUACGGCCCAGACUCCUACGGGAGGCAGCAGUGGGGAAUAUUGCACAAUGGGCGGAAGCCUGAUGCAGCAACGCCGCGUGCGGGAUGACGGCCUUCGGGUUGUAAACCGCUUUCGCCUGUGACGAAGCGUGAGUGACGGUAAUGGGUAAAGAAGCACCGGCUAACUACGUG
Molecule: ribosomal RNA, 467 nt
Filed under: uncultured bacterium
Lineage: Bacteria
Description: partial 16S ribosomal RNA
Rfam family: Bacterial small subunit ribosomal RNA
Source: RNAcentral